GCCAGAUUUGGUGGCUCACAUCUGUAAUCCCAGUGACUCAGGAGGCUGAGGCAGGAGGAUCCCAAGUUCAAGGCCAGCCUCAGCAAGUUAUCGAGGCCUUGAGCAACUUCGUGAGAUGCUGUCUCAA
RNAcentral lists this small RNA (127 nucleotides) under Marmota monax (woodchuck). Lineage: Eukaryota; Metazoa; Chordata; Mammalia; Rodentia; Sciuridae. The record is from RNAcentral.